AAAUUGAAGAGUUUGAUCAUGGCUCAGAUUGAACGCUGGCGGCAGGCCUAACACAUGCAAGUCGAACGGUAACAGGAAGCAGCUUGCUGCUUCGCUGACGAGUGGUGGACGGGUGAGUAAUGUCUGGGAAACUGCCUGAUGGAGGGGGAUAACUACUGGAAACGGUGGCUAAUACCGCAUAACGUCGCAAGACCAAAGAGGGGGACCUUCGGGCCUCUUGCCAUCAGAUGUGCCCAGAUGGGAUUAGCU
RNAcentral lists this ribosomal RNA (249 nucleotides) under Salmonella enterica subsp. enterica serovar Ajiobo. RNAcentral describes it as "partial 16S ribosomal RNA". It matches the Rfam family "Bacterial small subunit ribosomal RNA", at positions 1 to 246 of the family's 1533-position model. The record is from RNAcentral. Lineage: Bacteria; Pseudomonadati; Pseudomonadota; Gammaproteobacteria; Enterobacterales; Enterobacteriaceae.